AAUCAACGCUGGCGGCGUGCCUAACACAUGCAAGUCGAACGCGAAGGCCCGCAAGGGUAAGUAGAGUGGCGCACGGGUGAGUAACACGUGGACAACCUGCCUUCGAGUGGGGAAUAACCUUCCGAAAGGAGGGCUAAUACCGCAUAACACCUCGGGACACAAGUUCUGGGGUUGAAAAGAGCAAUUUGCUCGAAGAGGGGUCCGCGCCUGAUUAGCUAGUUGGUGAGGUAACGGCUCACCAAGGCUUCGAUCAGUAGCCGUCCUGAGAGGGAGCACGGCCACACUGGAACUGAGACACGGUCCAGACUCCCACGGGAGGCAGCAGUGGGGAAUUUUGGCAAUGGGCGAAAGCCUGACCAAGCAACGCCGCGUGGGUGAUGAAGUAUCUUGGUACGUAAAACCCUUUCGGCAGGGACGAACCUAAUGACGGUACCUGCGGAAGAAGCCCCGGCUAACUCCGUGCCAGCAGCCGCCGCAGUAAU
This 482-nucleotide ribosomal RNA is filed under the name uncultured bacterium. Its description in RNAcentral is "bacterial SSU rRNA". It matches the Rfam family "Bacterial small subunit ribosomal RNA", at positions 32 to 524 of the family's 1533-position model. The record is from RNAcentral.